Molecule: long non-coding RNA, 2915 nt
Organism: Nothobranchius furzeri (turquoise killifish)
Lineage: Eukaryota; Metazoa; Chordata; Actinopteri; Cyprinodontiformes; Nothobranchiidae
Source: RefSeq, a predicted model, not a curated record
UUAAGACAUGCUCAAAUGGGUCAUGUUAUAAGACUUUCAGGAGAGAAGUGAGAUAGAGGGAUUAUCAAAUGAAAUGAGGAAAGCUAAGUGAAAACAUGUGCUUGAGACAUCAUAGGAGCAAUUAGCAAAGAGAACGGUAUGCCAUGAUUCAUAAAAUGAUGAAUAUACGUUAAUAUGAUUCAACUUAAUUGUUUGAUUUAUUCCUUCUAACAUUUUAAAUCUCACCAGGUGGAAGAGUUGUUUUAUCCGUGCACCUGCAUCUCUAAGAUAUAUACUUGUACUUUGGCGUUGUGCACUCAAAACCAGUAGUGGCAUAUGAAGUACUAGAUGCUGAUCCUGCACCUUGGAUAAUAAGGGUGAAAUUCCAUUGCACAUUUCAAACAGGAAAGCAAUUUGUUAUGUUACAUAGGAACCAGAGGUGAUUUCAAACUCUGCUCACGUGAGCUGGAUCUCUGCAGGAUGCUGGCUAACACAAUGACAGCUCUUUUUGAACCAUUAGAAGUAAUCAGUAUUCUAGUUUUCAUGGCCUUUCUUAUCAGGCUGUUCUUGACUCUGCUCAAGUACAGUACAUCUAAUGGAAAAAUACAUCCUUUUGGAGAGUGAAAAGUACAGCAUAUGAAAUGGGACCUUUAUUAUUUCAUUUUGAAAGCCUGUAAGAAGUAGAGAGUUUUAAUCCAUUGCAGAAAUCAGUCUAGUUGAUUCAGAGCUGCUUAGUCAGUUCGUUUAAAUCAAGGUAAUUGAUAAAACCUUGUUUUGCCUUAAAGAGCAAGUGACGUCUAAAUUAACUUUUUUUUGCUGAUGAACUGUAUAAAUGUGUGUCUAAUAGUGUUUUAAAUGUGUGUAUUAAUUAUUUUAGCAUUUUGGUGCAUUUUCUUUAAAAAUUUAAAAUUCUGCCUAAAUACCACAGUAUAGCGCCACCUUCAGCUUAAAACAGAGUUUGAGUCAUUUUGAAUCUAUUUUAGCCAAUGGCUAAAGAGUAAGAUACUACGUAAACCAGUAGAGUACUACGUAGCAGCUCUGUGUCAAAGUUAUAAAGCAACGAGAGUCUCGGCCACGCCUUGUGGCGAGUUGGGAGUUGGAUUUGCAAGCGAGUGUAGGAGGUUAGCAGUAGUUCAGCAUUAGCAUAUCCAAGUCUUUAGCAUAGCUUUUAGUUUUAUAAAUACGUAUUUAGUGUUAGCUUUGCUGUUGGAUAUUGUAGUUUAGUUAGUGUUUGUCUGUUAGUGUUAUUAGGAAAGUAGUUUGGGUUUAGUGUUCCAUAUCGUGUUAGUAUGGUGAGAAGGUGUAGUGUAGUGGGUUCGGUGGCUCUGUGGGGUUGCACUCCUUUCCGCUGGACUUAGAAAUUAGGCGCCAGUGAUUGCGCAGUCGGUGUACUGGAAAACAGUCAGCUCCCGCCUGGUGCUGUAGUUUGCAAUCAGCAUUUUACCCACGAUUCCUUCGCCAACAUGAUGGAGUUUGAACUGGGUUGUUCUGCACGUCUCCGUUUGAAGAGGGAGGCUGUGCCCACCGUGGCUCUUCCGCGAUUUAGAUGCAGCCCACCGACUCUGCUCCCCCACCAUGGCGCGCUCCAGUCUGAGGUGAGUAAGCUAAAUACAAGUUUUAACAUCUUCUAAAGAAAAUUCCCUACCUAAAUGCAAAGUUUGAGAGAUGUGGUUCACUUAAUUUAGCUAAUAUAAGUCUGCACUGCCUUCGGGCUGAUUUGUCAAGUUCACAAAAUGUGGAACGGGAACAUGUCUCGAAGCCCUGGCCGACAAAACGGUCCACAUGACUAUUACUGUCAGGCUCGGAGAAAAUUCGGGUUGUUUUUGUGUCAGUCGGUAAUUCUGCAACAGUGACUAACUAACGCAGCACUAGCUGACAGACAGCAUUACAGCGUGACCUGGUUCUGUGAGGAAUUCUGUUCAGGAGGUCGCAUUUCAGGCUCUCCACAUCAUAUGUGACUGACUUUUACGUUAUAACAACGAUCACACACUAGGAAUGUUAUAAAGCGCCUAUAUAGGACAGUUUCUUUUGUAUAUUAUCUGACUUUAUAAACUCCAACAACAAUGUGCUUCUAUUUUUUUCAGGCUAAAUCUACCCAAGACAUUGGCUGUCAGACUGAUUUAGUAGUCUGCAAGAAUGCCCUUGUCCAGGCUGACAUGAAGCCUUACCCGUAGCAAAGGUGAACUAUUUUUAAUAAUCUUCUAUGUAAACAUUUUAUUAUUACCUUCUAGUUUUAAUUUGUUUUACAGAUUGUUGUUACACGUGAUUUUAUGCUCUUUUAAACAUUUAUAAAUGUGCUACUUCUUUGUUUUUACAUAGCCACCCAGAAUAGAGCUCACAGCCUCAGUGUGUCUUGUGACACAGGGACCAUGACGGAAAUUCAUCUUCCAGAAGGUCCCAGAGCAGCGUCCACACCCCUGAAAAGACCAAGAUGUGAGGUGUCUGCUGUUGAUUCCAGCUUCCACCUCAGUGACAGUGCAAGCUCAGUGAACUGUUCAAGGAGGCUACUGAUUCUGCCCCUGUGACACUUGGUGGUGACGUGUGAGCUGAUUCACCUGGACACUCAGCAAAAUAUGGACUCUACAUCAUGAGGCAGGCACACGUUAAUACUCUAUAAGAGCACAUAAGCAUGAGGAUGUCCUCACACACCUGUAACCUAUCAGCUCAUCUGGCAGAAUAGAGAGAGAAGAGACAACACCACAUCUCCUGUUCCUGGAAAGCCUUCAGCCAUCCUUCGAUGACUGAGAUCCUCCAUCAGCUCUGACUCCUGUCUGCCUACAAUUAUUAUAAUAAAUAUUUGACAAGUUUUUAGUGCUGCCAAAUAUCUCAUUUUGAUUCCAGUUUUGAUAUUUUAAUGGAUAUUUAUAAAUUACAUUAAUUGAAUUAUCACAAUUUUGCAUGUUUAAAUAGCUCUAUUGUGAUGAUAAUUUCAAGCA